This 361-nucleotide RNase P RNA is filed under the name Hydrogenophaga sp. RNAcentral's name for it is "RNase P RNA component class A". It matches the Rfam family "Bacterial RNase P class A". From Rfam's summary of the family: Ribonuclease P (RNase P) is a ubiquitous endoribonuclease, found in archaea, bacteria and eukarya as well as chloroplasts and mitochondria. Its best characterised activity is the generation of mature 5'-ends of tRNAs by cleaving the 5'-leader elements of precursor-tRNAs. Cellular RNase Ps are ribonucleoproteins. Lineage: Bacteria; Pseudomonadati; Pseudomonadota; Betaproteobacteria; Burkholderiales; Comamonadaceae. The record is from RNAcentral.
GAAGCGCACCAGGCCGCCGCUGGCACGAGACCCGAAAGGGUGUGCUGGAGGAACGUCCGGACUGCACAGGACAGCGUAGGAGGUAACACCUCUCCACCGACAAGCCCGAAGAGUUCGCUCCGAGGGCCCUAAGGUGAGGAUCAGAGCAACAGAGACGAGCCGAUUCAGUUCGGGUGAAACGGGCAAUCUCUACGCGCAGCAAUACCAAAUAGGCCAACGUUGACGUGGUUCCGCGGAGUUGGCGGGUAGGUAGCACCGAGCCGGGCGGGCAACCCCCGGCCCAGAUGAAUGGCGGUCACGUCCGGGCCUUCGAAAGAGGGCUCCGGAUGCACAGAAUCCGGCGUAACGGUGCGCUUCACAC